GGAUAAUGCUGCCCUACCUGAAUUGAUUAGAGCAGGGACGCCUCCUCUCUUCCCUAAGAUGGAGUGUGUCUCUGCAGCUCCUCAAUGCUGAAGUGGAAGAAAUCUGUAUUUAACAACUAGACAGAGAUCCCCCCCCUUUUUUUGGAGACCAUCAAGCAUGCAGCGGGAGUAAUUUUCUCAUACAAAUGCGGUCGCUGUGUUUUUUCGCUGUUCCUGCAUUUCUCUGAACCUGGGGGAAACAAAUUUGGGGCAUCUGUGUGAAACUUAAAUCAAUUUUUACACCAUUAGCUCCACAUACUGCUAUUCCGGCUUAUACUCAGGCGCUCACAUUUUGGUUUUUUUUGGAUGAUACUCAUGCAACAAUGGGAGUCAUACACACAGAUGGGUGACAAAUAAGUGAAGUUUUGCACCCCCAUUCUCCAGAACAGUUUCAGGGCUCCUUGCUUUGGAGUCUCCAAGUCAGUGCACUCUACAGGAUGGAGGAACACCAUUCAUCUUCCUUCACCAUCUCAUCCAUUAGCAUCAUGUUUGAACUUCAAAUCUUUCAGUGACCCCCUACAGAGGGAGGGAUUGUAUUCCUGCAAGACGCAGCUCACAACAGGAGGCCACGAAGCUGACAUUUAUCCAUUUUUCAUGAACAGAGCCAUAUAAUAACAACCCCAAGGGUCAAUGCAGCCAGCAGAGCAGACCAAGGCAGAGCCGAUGGCCCAGGGCCCAGAGGCCCACUCUAACGACCACAGCAUGCUUUGCUGUUGGCAGCAUGGAGUGCACGGAGAGCAGGGAGAACCCUGCAAUACAGAUGAACUUCUUUUACACAUAGAAGCUACGGUAGCUUUAGCUAUCUGAAUGUCUCUGGUGCUUAUAUGAAUAUAAAGCCGAAAUACAUGCUUAUGUAAUAAAGUGGAUAUCUGAAAGGGGCAGCACAAAGGAACACACACCGAGAAAAUAACAAAAUAGCAAACAGAUGCUUGGACGGACUUGGACAACAAGUAAAUGCACAGUACACAAACUAACAAUAAUUAUCAUUAAAAUUCUCAUUACUUUUCCCCUCUUUGCAAUUCUAGCCAAAGUAAUAAACAGUGCACCCGGGUUCUACCUGGAGAGGAGACACAUUUUUCCACCAGUCACAAGCUUUUACUGCUUUAUUUGAAACUAAAUAAGGAUUUUGCUUUUCACUUGUAGCAAAUAUUUCCACAUUAAAUAGUACACACAGAGUUCAUUUUCAAGCUUGAGAUCUUUUCACUGGGUAGCACACGGUACACCUCUCAAAAUAGACAAACACUUCAGCAAGUUACCUUGAGAAAGCACGGAGAGAGUUCAAACACUAUGGAAAGAAGGCAAUUUUCUAUCAGAGAUAAGCAGAUAAGUGUCCCCAGCUGGAAGUUGGGAGUCUGGCUGGCUUGUUUACCUAAGAAAAUGGACUAACACGCUGAACUUCAAAUGAACCCCAUCGAAUGCAGACACAUCUGCCGCAAGCCUAAAACAGACACUGUGGGCGGAAAAAUGAUGGAUGUCAAUCAUCGCAGCUAAAGACGACCGGUGCAUAUUAUGAACUAACAGACAUUAUUGUUGCACACAGAGCUGCAUCAAGACAAAAAUAUAUUCUAGAUAGAUAUAUACUUUAUUGAUC
Etheostoma spectabile (orangethroat darter) is the source of this 1630-nucleotide long non-coding RNA. RefSeq lists it as uncharacterized. The record is from RefSeq and is a predicted model, not a curated record. The transcript has 4 exons. Lineage: Eukaryota; Metazoa; Chordata; Actinopteri; Perciformes; Percidae.